CUCUUACAUGCCUGAUACAACAUAAGAAAGGGACAAUUUUACCACAAUAGACAUUUCCACUAAAAAAUGGGUAACUGUGACGGUUAAUAUUGAGUGUCAACUUGAUUGGAUUGAAUGAAGCAAAGUAUUGUUCCUGGGUGUGUCUGUGAAGGUGUUGCCAAAGGAGAUUAACAUUUGAGUAUGUGGAGUGGGAGAGGCAGACCCCACCUUAAUCUGGGUGGGCACCAUCUAAUCAGCUGCCAGGACGGCUAGAAUAAAGCAGGCAGAAGGUAGAAUGAGCAGAGUUGCUGAGUCUUCUGGCCUUCAUCUUUCUCCUGUGCUGGAUGCUUCCUGCCCUCAAAUGUCAGACUCCAGGUUCUUCAGCUUUAGACUCUUGGACUUACAUUGGUGGUUUCCCAGGGGCUCUCAGGCCUUCAGCCACAGACUGAAGGCUGCACUGUCGGUUUCCCUAUUUUUGAAGUUUUGGGACUCAGACUGAUCCACUACUGGCUUCCUUGCUACUCAACUUGAACACAACCUAUUGUGGGACUUUACCUUGUGAUCAUGUGAGUCAAUUCUCCUUAAUAAAUUCCCUUUCAUAUAUACAUAUAUCCUAUUGGUUCUUCCUUCUAGAGAACCCUAAUACAGUAACAUAGCAAUUACUCAACACAGUAAUUCUGAAAACAAGCUGAGUAUGUGCCACCAGCUUCUCUUAUUCAUUGAGGGUGUUGCUAGAAUAGGAUCCAUUUCUGCUUGAGAGUGAUUCCUUGAUCCUUUGUUCUCCUUGACUCUUGGUAGCAUCUAUUGGGCUGUUGGCUCUCCUUUAUGAGACGUCUUUUCAUUUUAAUAAGAAGUGGCCCCUCUUUGCAGCUGAGGAUCUCUCUCUGUCUGCUUUCUGCCCAUUGCAAGUUGUAAGCACAGAAGUCUCUUUUCAGUGUUAGCAAUCUCUUAUCUUUAAAUUCAAGAUAGCUGGGGUUUUGUUGACACCACUCUCUUAAAACUUUGCUGGCUCCCUAAUUCACCGCACAUUCCAAAAGCCACAUCAAUAAUUAAUUUUGCAGCAGAUCCCUAUCUUGGUCUGUGUAUGAGAUUGCUGAAGGAAAUGCCCUCAAGAUUCUUAGAUCUCAUUUGGAAAACUGAGAAAAUUUAUAAGGCACCAAUUUAAAUAUUUCAGAAGGCUUAAUAAAAACCCUAGCCCUUUUGCCAUUUUCCUAGCCUUUGCUAACUGAUUUAUCACUGCUUCUCUGGGUUCUUCCUGCCACCCAGUCCCAAUGUCAAUGAUGCAAUUAUUUUAAAGUUUUGUUAUAGUAGCUCCCAACUUUUAGGUACUAUCUCUGUAUCUGUUAACUAUUGGUCAAAAGUAACGACACCAAAACUCAAUGGUUUAAACAGGUGAUCCUCCUGCUGCUUUACUUGGGUUCCCUCACAUGACUCCUGGAGGUAAACUAGGCAGUAAGGUACUAGGUGGCCUCACUCACCUGUCCAGCAGUUGAUGCUGUCUCCUUUGUGACAACUUAGUUCUCCAAGUGGUCACUUAUCUUCUAGUAGACUAUACCAACUUCCUUGUCUAGUGAUGUUAGAGCAGCCUUCUAAGAGUAGUAAAGGCAAAUACUGCAAAGCCUCUAGAGACCAUAGCUCCUGAACUUAUACAACAUAGUUUCUGGUACAUUCCAUUUGUUAAAGGAUGUCGCAAGGCCAGCCAAAAUUCAAAAAUCAGUAAAUUGAUGUUCAUCUCUUAAUUCUUGUUACUAUAAAGCAUUUGUUUACUCUAUAAUAAACAUUAAUAUGUUUAUUAAUAAAUAUUAACAUAAUCAUAAUAAUGUAUAGAAACAUAAUUUUCACUGCUUUUGACAAAGAAAACUUACUAAAAGAGUAUAACUUUUUUUUUAAUUUCUAGGUUUAGUUAAAUAUAAAUGGGUAAUUAACUUUCCAAAAAGAAUAAAACAGUCAAUCUCUCUGCACACACACACAAGAUGCUUUUCUUAAUUUUUUCUGUGAAUGACUUGACUUGAUAUUUAGGUUUUAAUUUUCUUGAACAACUUAGGUGUUGCAAAAAUAAAAACUGUUGUAAUAAAAGUUUUAUGGCUUGGAGAGUCCUACUUUUCACAGCAAAGCUGAGGGAGAACGGAAAACACAUAGCUUUGAUGGGAUUCUUCAUAAAAUAGCUUGUUUUUUGUGCUGCUGAAAAUAGUAUUGAUGGCUUGGAGAUGUCACAAAAAUUUAUUUGGCCUAUAUACAUGUAACUUAAAAUAUAUCAAGGAGAUUUAAAAUCAAUUUGACUCUCUGUUGUAUACGCUGCUGGAAAGCAGUUUUAUUUCCUUCUCUGCAUAUAGAUUCAUUAUCAUUUUUACCUGUGCUUUCAUAGUAUGAAAUUUUUGCAAUUUGAUUUUAUUUAAUAUGUUUGUGAAGUUUGUGCACAUUGACAGGAUUGACACUAGGUGAUUUGUGUAACUGUUUUAGAGUGUCCAGUCUUGUGUAAUAUAUUUCAAAUUGUUUAUCCAUGCUAUUAUUGAUGGCAUUUCAAAAUUUGUUGUUAUAAACAAUACUGGUUUGUAUAUUUUGUUUAUAUCUCCUUGUGUACAUGAGCAAAAUUUUCUUAAGCAGUGGAAAUGCUGAGUUGUGAGAUAGGAACAUAUUCAAGUUUUCUGGACCUUUCCAAAUUGUUCUCCAGAAUGGUUGUGACACUUUACACUGCCAUCCAAAGUGUACGGAAGUUCCUAGGAGUGCACAUUAUCUCUAGCACUUGACAUUGCUGGAUGUUUUGAUGUAUACUUUUGCUGAAAAACAAAACAAACAAACAAAAAAAACAGAUUUCCUUUUAUUUUUUAUUUUUUUAUUUUUUUAGAGAUGAGGUCUCUCUAUGUUGCCCAAGCUGGUCUUUAACUCUAAGGCUCAAGCAAUUCUCCCACCUCGACUUCUCAAAGUGCUGAGACUACAGGUGUGAGCCAUGUGCCUGGUCUUGAUUUUUAAUUUAAAUGUGUGAACUGACAUCUCAUUCUGGUUUUUAAGCCACGCAAGUGGGAGAAGGGAAAAUGAAAUCAAGAAGGUCAUUGUCCAAGUAUUCUCACUUGUUUCUUAUCAGGGAUGAAAAUCCACAACUGAAGUUGAAGAUAGACUAAGCGGUAAACAUGGUCAGUGCCACUUUGUGGAAGAGCAGCAAGAAUCAUCUUACUCGGGCAUUUAUUCCAUGUAACUCUAUUUCAGAACUCUAAACUGACUCCAAAUCAAGUUUAAUAAUGGUCCUUCAUUGAAGUCUGAACUUCAAACCAUGGACUUCAAGUGCCUCUGUCAAUCUAUUUCUCAACUUACUAAUUGUUCUCAUUUCUUAUUUGUAACUAAUCACUGACAGUGCAUAAAAUGUGGCUUGAGCAUGAAGAAAGAAACAUAUAUAGAGAUAAUAAUUUCCUCAAUUUAGUGAAACUUACAGUCUUUUUUCUUUACCAAAAAAUGGUCCGUUUGUAAUUAAUAUUAAUUACUUGAAACUGUAAUGAUCCUCAUCAACUUCAUGAAUCAGCUAUGUAUGUGCCUUAGAAGAAGUCUACUUCAUCUCCAACCAAAGUAUAAGCCUUAUUGGUCAAAAGGCAAUCUCAUUUUCCUUGUCAGCUCUUGGUUCAAAAAGAACAUGCAACCCAGUUUCCACCAAUAAGACUUGAUGACAAGUUUGCUGGGAUGGAGAGCAUCUUUAGAAAAAUUUUCCUCCUCACUAAGAGUGGAGCACAAAAAGUUAUAAUGUCUCUUCUUUUUCUAAACAUAGUCACAUAAGGGACCACUGCAACCACACCUUUACCAUCCUGAGGAAGAAAGAUGGCAGACCUGAGGACUGGAAAGAAAGCACAUUUGACAUCAAAUUUCUUAAACAACUUAGAAACCAAUUUUUCUCUAAAUUUCUGUCUCUAAAUGUUUUCUCUAAAUUAUGUGAGAUAAUACCUUUCUCUGUUAGGCAAGUCUCUAAAGUUUUUCUUUUCCUUGAAGCAGAGAUUAUCCUAAUACAAAUGGGGUAAGGAUUAUUUCAGCUGAAAAUACGGAAUUGUUUAGUUAGUGUUUUUCCAUGUACAUUGGCCCUCUCAAAAAUUAUUUCUUUAUAUGAAAAUACAUUUUGUUAAUAUCGUGUAUAUACUACAUAAUUCCAAGGAACAUAUAAUAUUUGUCUGUAUCCAUUUCACUGUACUGAGUCAUCUGACUGGGAACCUGGUGUUUGGCAAAAAUCCUAACACAAAAUAUAGGCUAUUCAAAGCUUCACUAUAUUACUGGGAGCGGAAACGGCUGUUUGUAAAGUUCUUUUGUGACAACAUUUUUGUGAUAUAUGAAAUAAAAACAAAUGGAUUGAAUUUCUCAUAAAUCAGUGUUUAAAGUAACCAAAAUAAUGAGAGAAAAUUGUUUUUUGCCAAAAAAGAUAUAUUUUAAGUAUCACUGAAGUCAUUUCCAGCUUCUCUUUUCUAAUCCCAAUAAAUUCACUACUGAAAAUUAUGAAAGGGUUGUACAUAGCUAAAACCAAGGUUACAAAUGUGUGUGAAAAAUCUUGGCAAGUCACGUUAAAAUACAGAAUGGCACCAUGGCCUGGGUGAAGAGCAAUACUUAUUCUCCUAAUUAAAUAUAAGCAAACCUCUGAUUUCUACCUGACUCACCAAUUUGGAAUGUAGCUUUUUUGAAAUGUUUGUACCAAAAGAAAGACUAAUUGUUUUAACUUUUAAAUGAUAAAGUAACAUGCCUUAUUUCUCUCCAGACACAUUCCACUGGAACAAUAGCUAGAGAUAAUCUGUUACUCUCAGGAUAUCCUCUCAGUGUAAAUUGGGAUUUUGCAGUUCAUAACCCAUAACCAAUAGUAUAAACAAGAUGAAAUAUAGCCAUUUGUAGAGAGAGUUGCCAAAAAGAUGUGUUUUCUGUUUUCUUCAUUAUGAUCAUUUAAAAUUUUUUCAUUAAAACUUUCUUGUACUUAUUUCUUUUCUUGAAGAUAUAUUUGAAAUAAUUCAUCCGUAGGAUUCUUAGGAUUUAAACAACAGCAAGAACAAACACAACAACUUUAUUUUUUAGUGUCAUUAAUUCAAAUAGGUUAGAUUUCACUUACCAAAUCAUUCAACUUUAAUUUUUAAGCACUUAACAUAAGACAAGUACUGUAUUCAAUGCAGAAAGCAUGAUAGUAAGAUAGACACUAAGCCUAUGUCUCUGCAUUUUUCAGUCUUUAAAAGGGCAGAAAAGUAAACAAACCGUAACACCAAAUGUAUUUAGAGCUACAAUACAGGAAGUGCAAAAUCUAGUAAAAUCACAGAGCAGGAGCAAUGAGCUAGUUUAUGAGGUCAAGGAAGAUUCCUAGAGGAAAUGAUAUUUAAUUCAUGUUUUCAAAUUUG
Molecule: long non-coding RNA, 5324 nt
Filed under: Homo sapiens (human)
Lineage: Eukaryota; Metazoa; Chordata; Mammalia; Primates; Hominidae
Description: HSALNT0192819
Source: RNAcentral